CAGCAGCCGCGGUAAUACGAAGGGGGCUAGCGUUGUUCGGAAUCACUGGGCGUAAAGGGUGCGCAGGCUGGUUCUUAAGUCAGGGGUGAAAUCCCGAGGCUCAACCUCGGAACGGCCUUUGAUACUGGGGAUCUUGAGUCCGGAAGAGGUGAGUGGAACUGCGAGUGUAGAGGUGAAAUUCGUAGAUAUUCGCAAGAACACCGGUGGCGAAGGCGGCUCACUGGUCCGGAACUGACGCUGAGGCACGACAGCGUGGGGAGCAAACAGGAUUAGAUACCCGCGUAGUCCCUGUCUCUUAUAC
RNAcentral lists this ribosomal RNA (301 nucleotides) under uncultured bacterium. RNAcentral's name for it is "partial 16S ribosomal RNA". It matches the Rfam family "Bacterial small subunit ribosomal RNA", at positions 509 to 807 of the family's 1533-position model. The record is from RNAcentral.